CCACCAAUAAGGCUUUCCUUCCCCACUCACCAAAUCAGAUCCUUUUACUUCCUCCUUCUCCCCUCAACCAAAUGUGAUCUUAAAAUAUUCUGACUUCUCUGUGAUAAGAUUCUAUUUUUUUUUUUAGUUCCAGGCUAAUACAACUUUCUCUUGAAGCAUGUAGCUUAUGUUUUAAGAAUCCUUAUGUGGCACUGCUAGUACAAAAUCACAGGCACAUGUGGAUUAUCCAUACUGUAUAUUUUGCAAGGGUCAUUGCUUAACACCACUUCCUGUUCUGAGCGUUUGCUCUAUCUUGAAAUCUCUACUGUGAUUGAACUGUCUCGGUGACGGGGGAACUCUGAAUAUCUUCCUCUGAAAGGGGACAUCACUGAGGUCCUUUCUCUGUCUUGCCACAGUGGAUAUUUUCUCUCUUUUGUCCACAUAGAUGAAUCCUGUAGUAGCCAUGGUAAGGAUCCUUGAUCCUAUCAUCAGAGUCCCUGGACAUUGCUCCAAAGUCCCCUAGGAACCACUUCAACUUUUCUCCCCUUAGAUGUGACCUGUUCUUUCUGGAACUCUGCAAGACCGUCUCUUUAUCCUUGGCAUCUGGGAUUUCCAGGGACACGUUCUCCUGGCACUUUGCUCACCUCUGUUUCCCCUCCAGCUCUUCCUGGAGUACCUGUCCUUUGUGCAAUACACCUCCUGGAACUGUCUUUCCAGUCUCUGCUUUUUGUCCUGAUGAUUUUCAUGUGCUUUUCCUCUACAUCAUGAAGCAUUUACUCCACAUUAUCUUCCAGUUUGCUCAUUUGUCCUCACCUCCACUCUUCUCUUUCUGAAUUUGCCUGUUGCUUUUUCAGUCUCUUAGCUCCGUGGAGUAUGUUCAGUGUUGCUGUGUUCUGAUAGAGGCUCCUUAAGCCAUCUUGUAGAUUUUUUGUUGCACUUCCUCUCUUCCCUUAGACCUCCACAGGAGGAACUUUUCAAUCUGUCCUCUUCUCUCUGCUUAAUGAGCCCCUGCAAAGGGUUUGGGAAGUGCUUCAGCCUCUCUGUGAUUGUGUGUUCACAUUAAUAUUUAUUAUUUUCUUAAAUGUGCAUAAAUCUCACAAUGUGAACAGUGAUCAUCUUUGAGUGAUUUUUUUUCUCCUUUCUACUUUUAGUAAUUCUCCAAAUUUUCUACAGUUAGUGUGUGAUAAGGUGGAAAGACAUCUUCAAGACUUUGGGCAAAUAACUAUGUCUGAGCCUCAAUUUUCACAUCAAUAAAAAAUGGGCUCAGUGCCACCUCCCUCCUUGGGUCACUAGGGGGGCCCUUGAAAGCUGUGAAAGCCCCUAAGCCAACCUGGACAGAGCAGGCGAGGCUGACGGCAGGUGUUCUUCCUUCCUCUGUGAGCCUCACAGGGUCACACGUGAACAUUGGGGAUCGGGGGUGGGCAGUGGGGGCAGCUGGAGAAUCAAAUGAGGUGACUGACAUGAACUACGCCGCUUUGACAAAAGUCCUCCGAAGUAGUGUGUUCAGAACUCAUCUCCAAAGCCAUCUGGAAUAUUUGCUCCCAACAUGUUGGUAAGCAUUAUCUCUGACAGUCACUCCGAGCCCCAGUUUCUGCUGUGAUAACUAGGACAGGUAGCUCAGGUUGGUUGUGGGGACCAGAGACAGAGCAGGCAGGGUCUCACGUUCCCCAGGGCCUCUCAAGGAUAGACCCUCGCCCUCAUCUCCAAACCACGCCUCCCAGACAGGAACCAAACUCCCAGAGUCUCCAAACUGCCUGAGCCUUGCCCACUCCCUGGGCUAACACACACUUUAAAGGAAUCCCACAGUCACCGUGUGAAAAGCUUGCUACACUGCAUUUGAUUCUGGGCACUGAAAGCAGUACUUGGCUGCAGACACUCGUUUCAAACAGGCCCCAUUUUUCCAUCUCUGCUGCUGUUAUUAGGGGAGCCCUUAGACUCUCUUGCAGCGCCGGAAUAGGCGCUCAAGACGUGUGUUAAUAUUGCAACAGCAAAUAUAAUGAAUCUGCAGUUGGGGACGCUGAGGCCGGAGUGGUGGAUGAAAGGUGGCCGGAGCCUUUUCCAC
RNAcentral lists this long non-coding RNA (2041 nucleotides) under Homo sapiens (human). RNAcentral's name for it is "HSALNT0068596". Lineage: Eukaryota; Metazoa; Chordata; Mammalia; Primates; Hominidae. The record is from RNAcentral.